RNAcentral lists this long non-coding RNA (1227 nucleotides) under Monodelphis domestica (gray short-tailed opossum). Its description in RNAcentral is "lncRNA (ENSMODG00000043260.1)". The record is from RNAcentral. Lineage: Eukaryota; Metazoa; Chordata; Mammalia; Didelphimorphia; Didelphidae.
GCCCUUCUCUCAGCAUGGAAAAAGGACAAUUUGACCAGCUCUGACUCUCUCUGUCUCUUUCUGGCUCUGUCUCUCUUUGUCUCUGUCUCUUUCUGUCUCUGUCUCUGUCUCUCUGUUUCUGUCUCUGUCUCUCUCCCUCUGUCUCUCUGUCUCUCUGUCUCUGUCUCUCUCUGUUUCUGUCUCUUUGUCUUUGUCUCUGACUCUCUCUGUCUCUGUCUGUCUGUCUCUGUCUCUCUGUUUCUGUCUGUCUAUCUCUGUAUCUGUCUCUCUGUGUCUCUGUCUCUGUCUCUCUGUGUCUCUCUUUGUCUCUGCCUCUGUCUCUGUCUCACUUUGUCUCGGUCUCUCUGUCUCUGUCUCUCUGUCUCUCUCUGUAUCUGUCUCUGUCUCUCUGUCUCUCUUUGUCUCUGUCUCUCUCUGAUUCUGUCUCUCUGUCUCUCUUUGUUUUUGUCUCUGUCUCUGUCUGUGUCUCUCUUUCUGUAACUGUCUCUCUGUAUCUCUUUCUCUUUCUCUUUGUCUCUCUUUGUUUUUGUCUCUGUCUCUCUGUUUCUGUAACUGUCUCUGUAUCUAUCUCUCUGUCUCUCUUUGUCUCUGUUUCUCUCUGUCUCUGUCUCUCUUUGUCUUUGUCUCUGUCUCUCUCUGUCUAUGUCUCUCUGUCUGACUCUGUCUCUCUUUGUCUCUGUCUCUCUGUUUCUGUCUCUGUCUGUCUCUCUCUCUGUAUCUGUCUCUCUGGUCUCUGUCUCUCUGUCUAUCUCUCGGUAUUUGUCUCUCUGGUCUGUCUCUGUCUGUCUGUCUCUCUGUGUCUGUCUCUCUAUCUCUGUGUCUGUCUCUCUCUGUCUAUGUCUCUCUGUCUGACUCUGUCUCUCUUUGUCUCUGUCUCUCUGUUUCUGUCUCUGUCUGUCUCUCUCUCUGUAUCUGUCUCUCUGGUCUCUGUCUCUCUGUCUAUCUCUCGGUAUUUGUCUCUCUGGUCUGUCUCUGUCUCUCUGUCUGUCUCUCUGUGUCUGUCUCUCUAUCUCUGUGUCUGUCUCUCUCUGUCUAUGUCUCUCUGUCUGACUCUGUCUCUCUUUGUCUCUGUCUUUCUGUUUCUGUCUCUGUCUGUCUCUCUGUAUCUGUCUCUCUGGUCUCUGUCUCUCUGUCUGUCUCUGUCUGUCUCUCUGUGUCUGUCUCUCUAUCUCUGUCUCUCUCUCCUUCCAUCUCUCUCUCUCUCUUCCUCCCCACAUGUAUGUAUGU